RNAcentral lists this ribosomal RNA (253 nucleotides) under uncultured bacterium. RNAcentral describes it as "partial 16S ribosomal RNA". It matches the Rfam family "Bacterial small subunit ribosomal RNA", at positions 524 to 776 of the family's 1533-position model. The record is from RNAcentral.
GACGGAGGAUGCAAGCGUUAUCCGGAAUGAUUGGGCGUAAAGCGUCCGCAGGUGGCAGUUCAAGUCUGCUGUCAAAGACCGGGGCUUAACUUCGGAAAGGCAGUGGAAACUGAACAGCUAGAGUAUGGUAGGGGCAGAGGGAAUUCCUGGUGUAGCGGUGAAAUGCGUAGAUAUCAGGAAGAACAUCGGUGGCGAAGGCACUUUACUGGGCUAUUACUAACACUCAGAGACGAAAGCUAGGGUAGCAAAUGGG